AGUAAGCUUCAUUUUUUUUUUCAUCUGUAAAUUGGAGAAUAUGGUGUUUACUUCAUAUGGCUAUUGUAAGCAAUAAAAAAAAAAGGUAUUUUAAACACCUAGCAUAGCAGGUGUUAGUGCUAAAUUAUAUAUUACUUUCUCCUGAUAAAGUAACCUUUUAAAAAGUAAAGAGCUUAUUUAUAUAGAGCUAGUUUCCAGUCUCUUGUUUUAGAGACUUAAAAAACAGUACUGGACUGCUGUUGUUGUUUCACUGUGGCAAAGAAUAGAAGAAUGAACUUUAUUUCAUCAUAUAUUUGAUGGUUCCCAAAUCAUUCCUUGCUUCUUAUAGCCAGCAGAAACCUACAGUUGGAUUUUGGUGAGUCUAAGUUUGUAGUAAGUGAGAUUGUUUUUAGUGAGCUGUCAGUGGGGGUUGAUGAAAGGCAGAAGACCAUGGUCGUUUAUAAUGAGUUUGUGUGAAAAUCCAAUGAAGUGGUCAGUGAAAAUUCUACCUCGAGAUAAACUGUGCAGACUGGCUCUAACAGUAGAUUAUUUUCUUCUAAUUAUAAGUUUGCUAUAGCUUCUUUUAUUUUUGUUUCUGUUUUUGUUUGAAACCAGAAAGUCCUUUGCUGUUUCCUUAUUAUCCUCGAAAAUCAUUGCAUUUUGUGAAAAGGCGGAUGGAGAAUAUUAUUGAUCAGUGUUUGCAAAAGCCAGCAGUAAGUUUGAAAGAAAUGCAUGUCUUUGUGUAGGAGCAAUAGUGUCUACAGUAUGUGGCUCACUUAUGUAAAUGAUCUUAAUUUUUAGAAUGAACUAUGAAAAUGUUGAUAUUCAACUGUUUUUGAUUAACAAAAGUAACAAUUUCAUAUGGUUCAACCUAAUACUCCAACUUAAGUUUCUUACACACGUGUGUGUGUGUGUGUGUGUGUAUAAAGAUUACUAAAGGUGUUGGCAUCUUGAGUAUUUUAUUUGUUCCCAGAAGAAAUUCAUUGUAAACAGUCUUAGUUACAGAGCUGAUGUGUCUCUGUUUACUACUGAAGGAUGUGAAUGAAUGGUUGUUAUGAGACCAGAGGGAGGUGGUCUUAAACCUGCCAUGUGCUUAGCACCAAGGUCCUUUUCAGCUCAGAAUUUUCUCUUUUUCCUUACUGUUACAAUUGUCAUUAAAGUUUCUUAUGUACAAGGUUUGGUGAUGUAGGCGAUUUUUUUACUACAUUCGAACAGUGAUGGUCAGUCACUUUCUGUAGAGUAUCUGUGUGCAUAUUAAUGCUCUAAUUAUAUUUUAAAAUCUUAUUUUAUAUAGGAUGUAAUUGGAAAAUCGAUGAAUCAAGCAAUCUGUAUUCCAUUGUAUAGAGAUACCAGAAGGUAAUUCUGUUUACCUAUUGGGUGGUGUAAUUCCGCAGCCAAUUUAAAUUUUUCUCAUUUCUUUUUCCCUUUUAUUUUAGUGAGGAUUCUACACGUAGAUUGUUCAAAUUUCCUUUUCUGUGGAAUAAUAAAACUUCAAAUCUACAUUAUCUUCUUUUUACUAUUCUAGAAGAUUCACUUUAUAAAAUGUGCAUCUUAAGGAGACAUACUGAUAUUUCUCAAUCUGUGAGUAAUGGACUAAUUGCUAUUAAAUUUGGGAGCUUUACAUAUGCCACAACAGAAAAAGUCAGAAGAAGCAUCUACAGUUGUUUAGAUGCACAGUUUUAUGAUGAUGAAACUGUAACAGUAGUUCUUAAAGACACUGUAGGACGUGAAGGAAGAGAUAGACUCUUGGUCCAGCUGCCUUUGUCUUUAGUAUAUAACAGUGAAGAUUCUGCAGAAUAUCAGUUCACUGGGACUUAUUCUACAAGGCUAGAUGAACAGUGUAGUGCUAUUCCCACCCGUACCAUGCAUUUUGAGAAGCACUGGAGAUUACUGGAAAGUAUGAAAGCACAGUAUGUUGCUGGGAAUGGUUUUCGAAAAGUGUCCUGUGUGUUAAGCUCAAAUCUUCGUCAUGUGAGAGUAUUUGAAAUGGACAUAGAUGAUGAAUGGGAGCUCGAUGAGUCUUCAGAUGAAGAGGAGGAGGCCAGUAAUAAGCCUGU
RNAcentral lists this small RNA (2036 nucleotides) under Pan troglodytes (chimpanzee). RNAcentral describes it as "retained intron". The record is from RNAcentral. Lineage: Eukaryota; Metazoa; Chordata; Mammalia; Primates; Hominidae.